This 253-nucleotide ribosomal RNA is filed under the name uncultured bacterium. RNAcentral's name for it is "partial 16S ribosomal RNA". It matches the Rfam family "Bacterial small subunit ribosomal RNA", at positions 524 to 776 of the family's 1533-position model. The record is from RNAcentral.
UACGUAGGGGGCAAGCGUUGUCCGGAAUCAUUGGGCGUAAAGCGCGUGUAGGCGGCUUGGUAAGUCCGCUCUGAAAGCCCGGGGCUCAACCCCGGGAGGCGGGUGGAUACUGCUGGGCUCGAGUCCGGAAGAGGAGUGUGGAAUUCCUGGUGUAGCGGUGAAAUGCGCAGAUAUCGGGAGGAACACCUAUUGCGAAGGCAGCUCGCUGGGACGUUACUGACGCUGAGACGCGAAAGCGUGGGGAGCAAACAGG